This 1164-nucleotide small RNA is filed under the name Histoplasma capsulatum. RNAcentral's name for it is "hypothetical RNA". Lineage: Eukaryota; Fungi; Ascomycota; Eurotiomycetes; Onygenales; Ajellomycetaceae. RNAcentral also lists the same sequence under 1 other name. The record is from RNAcentral.
GGGAAGGGGGCGUAGAGGUAUCUCAGCAGGGGGUCGGCGUCGUCGUCGGUGAUGACCUCGUGGACGAAGGACGGGUGCAGCUCCGUCCAGCUGGCCUCCAUGGGGCGGAACUUGUCGCCGAACUUACCGGAGGCGGGGGUGUAUUUCCAGGUCUGCCAGAUGUACGCGGGGAAUUUGGCGUGGACGUCAUAGGGGAAUUGGUAGCGGAGGCGUUCGCGGAGGGGCUUGCGGGCAAGAUCCUCGGGGGACAGCGAGGCUGGUGCGGAUGUGGGAGGGAGCGAUUCGUUGUGGGUAGAGGGCGGCGACUCGGAGGACGCAGCAACGGACUUCUGUGCAGCUUUACGAAUGGGAAGUGGUUGUGGGUGGCAAAGACGGAAGCAGGAGUGGGAGCGGGAGGAGAGGAGGAAGUAGAAGCUGGCGAGGAGGAGGAGAGUCGCUGCGAUAGAACGGCGGAAGGUAAUCAUGGUGGCAGCUGGAGUAGACCAGGGGCGGAGCGGGGAGGAGCGGGCAUGGCAGUCGAGCGGGAGGAGCGUGUUUUGGGGGGAGUCGACGGCGGAGUAAUAUGGGUAAUAUGGGUAUUAUGGGUAACACUGGUAACACUGGGUAAUACUGGGUAACACUGUGGAUGUCAAACACAGGCUGAAGGAGAACCGUGGAAGGCUCCGCGUGAACCGGGAACGGGGACGAAGUUUAAGCAGCAGCAGCAACAGCAACAGCAACAGCAACAGCAACAAAACGCCCUUCCAAGCCUGGUAGAUCACCGACGCAUGGCGAUGGAAUGGGGAGGAGACGAGACGAUGAGGAGACAGGCCUUUGCUGAGCAGUGUGUUGUGUAUAAGAAGAGAGGGGAGGAGGAGAGGGAAAAGAAAGAAACAACGGAGAGAAACAAAAAGGGGAUCUGUGGACAGCAACACCCAUUGACUGACUAACUGAUUGGGAUCUUCGUCGUGUUUCCGCCCUCCACGGCCCUCCACCGCCCCCAUGACAGCUGCAGCUCCCGGGCGAUCCCUGCCCAGACUGGGCCCGCGGUGGGGCUAGGCUAGGCUGGUUGCAGCAUAGCGGGCAUCUGAAACAGUCCCGAGACGAUCUGCGCUGCUCUGACUGGCUGGCCGGGGAUGGGUGCGUGGUGGGUGAUGUCAUCGUCGGUAUUUGAAUAGAGGCGGC